Molecule: ribosomal RNA, 385 nt
Filed under: uncultured bacterium
Lineage: Bacteria
Description: bacterial SSU rRNA
Rfam family: Bacterial small subunit ribosomal RNA
Source: RNAcentral
AUUGAACGCUGGCGGCAUGCCUUACACAUGCAAGUCGAACGGCAGCACGGGAGCAAUCCUGGUGGCGAGUGGCGAACGGGUGAGUAAUAUAUCGGAACGUGCCCAGUCGUGGGGAUAACGUAGCGAAAGUUACGCUAAUACCGCAUACGAUCUACGGAUGAAAGCGGGGGGACUCGCAAGAGCCUCGCGCGAUUGGAGCGGCCGAUAUCAGAUUAGGUAGUUGGUGAGGUAAAGGCUCACCAAGCCGACGAUCUGUAGCUGGUCUGAGAGGACGACCAGCCACACUGGGACUGAGACACGGCCCAGACUCCUACGGAGGCAGCAGUGGGAAUUUGGACAAUGGGCGCAAGCCUGAUCCAGCAAUGCCGCGUGCAGGAUGAAGGCC